GAUGAACGCUGGCGGCGUGCCUAACACAUGCAAGUCGAGCGAUUCUCUUCGGAGAAGAGCGGCGGACGGGUGAGUAACGCGUGGGUAACCUGCCCUGUACACACGGAUAACAUACCGAAAGGUAUGCUAAUACGAGAUAAUAUGCUUUUAUCGCAUGGUAGAAGUAUCAAAGCUUUUGCGGUACAGGAUGGACCCGCGUCUGAUUAGCUAGUUGGUAAGGUAACGGCUUACCAAGGCGACGAUCAGUAGCCGACCUGAGAGGGUGAUCGGCCACAUUGGAACUGAGACACGGUCCAAACUCCUACGGGAGGCAGCAGUGGGGAAUAUUGCACAAUGGGCGGAAAGCCUGAUGUAGCAACGCCGCGUGAGCGAUGAAGGCCUCGGUC
Molecule: ribosomal RNA, 386 nt
Filed under: uncultured bacterium
Lineage: Bacteria
Description: bacterial SSU rRNA
Rfam family: Bacterial small subunit ribosomal RNA
Source: RNAcentral